RNAcentral lists this long non-coding RNA (360 nucleotides) under Pan troglodytes (chimpanzee). RNAcentral's name for it is "long non-coding RNA NONPTRT016709". Lineage: Eukaryota; Metazoa; Chordata; Mammalia; Primates; Hominidae. The record is from RNAcentral.
AUCAUCCAAAACAGAAACCCUGUACCUAUUAAACAAUCACUCCCCGUUACUCUCCUACCCCUCAACCUAUGCUCGCACAUCCCCUGCCAGCCCAUGGUAACCACCAACCGACUUUUUGUCACUAUGCAUUUGACUAUUCCAGGUACUGUAUAUGAGUGAAAUCAUAUGAUGUUAGGCCUAUUUCACUUAGGAUUAGGUCUUCAAGAUUCUUGUGCUCUUCUGGGUCUAACUAUUCAUUAAACAAUCCAUUGAUCGCAGUAUUCAACCUGUGCACUGAACUAGCAAUAAUAUCUGUACCUCCUAACACAAAGAUGAAUAUUGUAUCCAAGUGGGAAAGUGGAGUCCACACUGAAGAUUGUG